This 303-nucleotide ribosomal RNA is filed under the name uncultured bacterium. RNAcentral's name for it is "partial 16S ribosomal RNA". It matches the Rfam family "Bacterial small subunit ribosomal RNA", at positions 507 to 807 of the family's 1533-position model. The record is from RNAcentral.
AGCAGCCGCCGCGGGAAUACGUAGGGUGCGAGCGUUAAUCGGAAUUACUGGGCGUAAAGCGUGCGCAGGCGGUUUUGUAAGACAGGCGUGAAAUCCCCGGGCUCAACCUGGGAAUGGCGCUUGUGACUGCAAAGCUAGAGUGCGGCAGAGGGGGAUGGAAUUCCGCGUGUAGCAGUGAAAUGCGUAGAUAUGCGGAGGAACACCGAUGGCGAAGGCAAUCCCCUGGGCCUGCACUGACGCUUAUGCACGAAAGCGUGGGGAGCAAACAGGAUUAGAUACCCGUGUAGUCCCUGUCUCUUAUAC